CUUCUCGACUUCUCGACCGCCUGCAAUGCUGCUCCACCGCCUCUUCCAAAAAUAAUUAUUAUUACUCAAUCUUUGCCCUAAAUCUUUUCCGCCUCAUAGAAGCUCGGUUUCAAAGCUAGGAUUCAGGAUAAAAAUCUUCUGCUUAUAGUUUGAUGCGGCCUUGCUGCUAAACCCUUCGGAGUUCCAAUCAUGGCGGUCGGGGAGACGCUCCUUACCAGAACGUAGGGAACCAAGAAACGACUGAUAUUAGACAUGGGCAGGCAUAGGAUGGAAGGGAUAGAUAUUUGAUUCGGCCACAAUAAAGAAAGUAAUUUCCUCUACAUUAGGGACCAAAUUGGUAAGAGGUUUGGCUGGUUGGCUACAGACAUAUUGACUGUGCAAAGAUAUAUGACAAUGAGAAGGAAGCCAGUAUAGUUUCAUAUCUGAACUUCGGGAUUUGAACAUCAUGUCAACCAUGUUCAAUUCACUUUCUUUACUGACAUUGUUGACAAUUCCUUGAUUUACUUAAUUUAGUCUCAAUUUAGUCUAUAA
Molecule: long non-coding RNA, 531 nt
Organism: Cryptomeria japonica (Japanese cedar)
Lineage: Eukaryota; Viridiplantae; Streptophyta; Pinopsida; Cupressales; Cupressaceae
Exons: 3
Source: RefSeq, a predicted model, not a curated record